This 233-nucleotide ribosomal RNA is filed under the name uncultured bacterium. RNAcentral's name for it is "partial 16S ribosomal RNA". It matches the Rfam family "Bacterial small subunit ribosomal RNA", at positions 15 to 235 of the family's 1533-position model. The record is from RNAcentral.
GAUCCUGGCUCAGGAUGAACGCUAGCUACAGGCUUAACACAUGCAAGUCGAGGGGAAACGACAUCGAAAGCUUGCUUUUGAUGGGCGUCGACCGGCGCACGGGUGAGUAACGCGUAUGCAACUUGCCUAUCAGAGGGGGGAUAACCCGGCGAAAGUCGGACUAAUACCGCAUGAAGCAGGGAUCCCGCAUGGGAAUAUUUGCUAAAGAUUCAUCGCUGAUAGAUAGGCAUGCG